RNAcentral lists this ribosomal RNA (580 nucleotides) under Aspergillus fumigatus. RNAcentral describes it as "eukaryotic LSU rRNA". The stretch from base 197 to 350 matches the Rfam family "5.8S ribosomal RNA". Lineage: Eukaryota; Fungi; Ascomycota; Eurotiomycetes; Eurotiales; Aspergillaceae. The record is from RNAcentral.
AAGGAUCAUUACCGAGUGAGGGCCCUCUGGGUCCAACCUCCCACCCGUGUCUAUCGUACCUUGUUGCUUCGGCGGGCCCGCCGUUUCGACGGCCGCCGGGGAGGCCUUGCGCCCCCGGGCCCGCGCCCGCCGAAGACCCCAACAUGAACGCUGUUCUGAAAGUAUGCAGUCUGAGUUGAUUAUCGUAAUCAGUUAAAACUUUCAACAACGGAUCUCUUGGUUCCGGCAUCGAUGAAGAACGCAGCGAAAUGCGAUAAGUAAUGUGAAUUGCAGAAUUCAGUGAAUCAUCGAGUCUUUGAACGCACAUUGCGCCCCCUGGUAUUCCGGGGGGCAUGCCUGUCCGAGCGUCAUUGCUGCCCUCAAGCACGGCUUGUGUGUUGGGCCCCCGUCCCCCUCUCCCGGGGGACGGGCCCGAAAGGCAGCGGCGGCACCGCGUCCGGUCCUCGAGCGUAUGGGGCUUUGUCACCUGCUCUGUAGGCCCGGCCGGCGCCAGCCGACACCCAACUUUAUUUUUCUAAGGUUGACCUCGGAUCAGGUAGGGAUACCCGCUGAACUUAAGCAUAUCAAUAAGCCGGAGGAA